UACAGAGGGGGCAAGCGUUGUUCGGAAUUACUGGGCGUAAAGGGCGCGUAGGCGGCCGCCUAAGUCAGACGUGAAAUCCCUCGGCUCAACCGGGGAACUGCGUCUGAUACUGGAGGGCUUGAGUAUGGGAGAGGGAUGUAGAAUUCCAGGUGUAGCGGUGAAAUGCGUAGAUAUCUGGAGGAAUACCGGUGGCGAAGGCGGCAUCCUGGACCAUUACUGACGCUGAGGCGCGAAAGCUAGGGGAGCAAACGGG
RNAcentral lists this ribosomal RNA (253 nucleotides) under uncultured bacterium. RNAcentral describes it as "partial 16S ribosomal RNA". It matches the Rfam family "Bacterial small subunit ribosomal RNA", at positions 524 to 776 of the family's 1533-position model. The record is from RNAcentral.